AAAUAACUUAGUAAUAAACAAAAAAAUACAACAAAAUUUGUAAAUUUUACUUAUCAAAAUUUGAAUCAAAUAAAAUAUAGGUUAAUAUAUUCUAACCCAUCUCAAAAACAAUCUUCAAUAGUAGAAAUAUGUCAUAUAUGUCAUAUAAACUACGGUUAAAAGAAAAAUGUAAUCUAUAAAAAUGAAUUCAUUUUUAUAAUUUUUGGAAACGUGUAAAAUAUGAUUUUAACUUUAACAGUCAAAAUAUAGACUACGAUUCUCUUUUAAUGAACUAUAAAAUAUAAGUAAAAUACUUUUUUAUUAUUUCAAAUGAUAUACUUUUCAUUUUUUCUGUAAACAAUCAUAUAAAUGGUAACAACUUAAAAGGAAACACUUGGAAAAUUUUAAUAACACUCUAACAAUUAUUUUUAAAGAAAGUAAUAAAGUAAAAUGAUGUUUAUAGAACCUCAAAAUCAUUUAUAUUAUACAUAUACUUUUUUUUCAACUUGGUCUCUCUAUAUUUCACAUAGAUUCGUAGGCCUAUAAUUAAUUUUUCAUACUUUAAAGGACUUGCAAGGUUAUCUUCUUCCAUUAUCCAUAAGAUUAUUGAUACUUGAACUAAAUGUACUAAAUUUAUUUCCUCUUUCGAAAAAAUGUACAACACACAUCACAUGCUUCUGAUGCAUAUGCUUUUAUGUGUUCAUAGGACGAUCCAAGGGUCACUAUUGUCUACUAAGUUAUAGUUUAUCUCACAAUCCAAAAGUAGUCAUUAUUUUCCAAUAUAUAUUAAUUAUUAUUUUGAUAUUCAUGCAUGCAUGCUCAUAUGAUGAACAUGGUUAGGCCGCAAAACCUAGUGUUAUUACAAAAGGACAAUGCAUUAUUAUAAUAAAUAAUCUUAAAUUUAAUUAUCCUCUAUUUAAACCCUCCAACACUCAUUAUGAUUUCCACGUCUUCUCUUCUUCUUCUUCUUCUUCUUCUUCUUCUUUCUCUCUCUUAUGUGUAUAUGUACAAAAUAAUGGACAAAAAACCAUGCAACUCACCAUCAUCUCAUGAUCCUGAAGUGAGAAAGGGACCAUGGACCAUGGAAGAAGAUUUGAUCUUGAUCAACUAUAUUGCAAAUCAUGGUGAAGGUGUUUGGAAUUCUCUAGCCAAAGCUUCUGGUAAAAAUAUAUGUUAAUUAUUUUAUUAUUCUUCUUCUUUUUUUUGUUAUAAACCCUAAUUAGGGUUAUAUACAUAUAUCAUCAUGUUGAUGUAUGAAUAUUUGUGUAGGUCUUAAACGAACUGGAAAAAGUUGUCGACUUCGUUGGCUAAACUACCUUCGUCCUGAUGUUAGAAGAGGGAACAUUACAACAGAAGAACAGCUUUUGAUCUUUGAGCUUCAUGCAAAGUGGGGUAAUAGGUGAAUAUAUAUAUCUAUAUAUCUAUAUAUAAAUAUACAUAAAAUAGCAAUACAGUGCACAUUAUUUUUCAACUUUCUUAUAUAUCUGAAUCUUAAUUGGUAUGAGAGGUAUGUCACUUUAAUUCUCAAAAUGAAAAUUUCUUCUCCAACUUUCUCCCACAAUUGAAAGAUAGAAGAAGAUGUUGACUCUAUUCUAACAUGUUAUUGAUUAAAGUUUAUCAGUUUUUUAUGAGCUAAAGCAGAAAAUAAAAAGUGAAAAAAAAAAUAUAUAUAUAUAUAUAUUGGUUUUCAAGCAUUUGAAAGUGUUAUUAGCAUUUUUCUGUAAUCUGAAAAUAACAUAUAGUUUGUAAAAGCAUGUCAAGAACAUAAUUGACAGUGUCAUGGAAAAUCAUUAGAGUGAGAGAUCUAAUUUGUUCAUGGUUUUGAAUUAGCCAAGAAAAGGAUUGGAACACAUGGGGUGUUUGUAAAAUUUAGGUUAAAAAAAAGAUUCCUAUUUUAAAUCGUUUCUGAUAAGUUUUUGGAAAUUCUCAAAAUGGAUUUUACUCGUAUAUGUGAAAGAAAUUAGAGUUUUUUUUUUCCUUGAAGAUACAUUUUUUUUUUUGUAUACAACAUGACACAUGCAUGCAUGUGGUUUUGAGAUCUUGAACAAGAAGAGAAUGAAGUUUUCGAAAAAUUACCUUAAAUAAAAGUUAUUGUUUAUCAUUGUUAUUUUAAUUAUUAAUUUAAUUUUCAAAUAAAAUACUCAUUAAUUUUUAAAUUUAAAAAAGUGAAAGGUAAUUAUGUUUUAAAAUUCCUCUUAUUUCUACCUUUAAUUUUCUUUUAAUCUUUGGUAACUUAUCUUUUUCAAUUAAAUUAUAAAAAAUAUGUACAAGAAUAAGAAGUAUAAGGAUAUUGAUAUUAAGAUUGCAAUAGUUAAGAUAUAUGUAGGAAUAAACAAAAACGACGAACUCCUAAAUAUAUUAAAUAAAAAAGUGAAACAAGUUGUAGAAGUUGAUAAGCUACAAGGAAUUAAUGACACAGUACGCUAAAAAACAGCUAUAUGUUCUUAAACAAAAGCAUAGAAACGGGAUAGAUGGGGUACCUCAAUAAAAUAAAUUAGGUUUAAUUAUUCAUCUAAAUUCAAUAAAUUAAUAAAAAUAUAUUGAAAAAUAUUAGAGUAAAUACUAUUAUUUUUACUAUGUUUCUCUUCUUCUUCACAUAUAAUAAUUUUCAAGGACCCUUCUUCCUAUAAGACAAAAUUUUGUAGGUCUAAUUUUUUUUUUCUGAAAAAUAGAUAUUUUAAAAUAUUUAUUAUAAAAUAAAAGAGUGAAUAAAGAAUUUUAGAAAAUAUAGAUAAAAAAAAUCCUAAACUUGGAUAAUUCACAACUCAACCCUAGUACCUUUCCCACCCUUAGUACUUCUUUUCCCAUCCAAGAAAAAAUAAAACUCAAUUAUUUAAGGAAAAUUUAUAAAUAUUUGGGAUAAAAAAGGAGGCACAAAUUUAGGACACGUGGCUUUUCUUGGGCAAAGAAAAAUGAAGUAAAAAUAAGUUUAAAAUUAAGAAAAAUAUUUGUUGACAACUAGGUAGCACUACUUUUUUGUUUGGUAGGAAAAAAAAUAACUAGAAUGGAUUAAUAGAAAUGGUAAAUGAAAAUAUAGAGAAAUAAAGCAAAAUUUUCAAAACUUUUUUUUAUUGAAAAGAAAUAGAAAAAAAAAUGGUAAUUAAUUAAUUAACUCUACCCUUUUUUUUUUUAAUUUUUCAUUUCAAUCAUACAACUCUCAUCAUUCAUAGUAUUUUCUCUAUCUCUUUCUAUUAAAGAGGGUAUUAUUAGAGGAAAAGGAUCAAAAGAAAUGAAAGUAUAUCAUAGAAUAGAAUAAAUAAUUGAGUUUUCUAUACAUAGAAGUGUACAUAAAUAUCAUAGAAGAAAAAUCUAUGAGGUGAAUCUUGAAAAAAAAAAAAAUCUUGAAAAUUUGUAUAAAACACAGCAAAAAAAAAUAAAAAUUAUACUAAUAGAAUCUAUGAACAAAAUAUGAGAAACCUAGAAAUGUUAGAAUGAAAGUACACUAUAUAUAGUUACCUGGGGAUUGCAUUGAGAAAUAUGAUUUUGGUGUUCUGAGAUCCCAUGUUGUUGCAAAGCAAAUGCAUAUCUCCAAAGGGAGAUCGAGCAACUUAUAGCCAAACUCUUUUAUAAGUGAGACUCGAAAACCAUCAUCACUUUUAUUCUCAACCAAGGAACAUGGUCUCAAAUAUAGACACGUGAAAAAUGCAGAAAAAACAGACAUGUGACAUUUAUUUAAUAUUGGUGUCUGUUUUUUUUUUAUUAUAUUUUAUUAUUAUUAUUAUACUCAUAUAAAACGUGCCAACACUUUCAUUUAGUAUUGGUGUAACUUUAUCAUGACAUUCCUUUUACCCCAAAUGCACAUAUUUCAGUUUGUCUUUUCACCAUCUCUUAAAAUUUCAAUUAAAAUUUAAAUUAUCUAACUUGGUUUCUCUUAUUAAGGUGGUCCAAAAUUGCAAAGCAUCUUCCAGGAAGAACCGACAAUGAGAUUAAGAACUUUUGGAGAACCAGAAUCCAGAAGCACAUGAAGCAAGCUGAGAAUUCACAGCAACAGGGUAAUAAUAACAGUAACAUUUCAGAGACAAAUGAUCAUCAUCAUCACCAUCAACAUCAUCAACAUCAUCAUCAUCAAGCCAGCUCUAGCACAAGCCUAGCAUCCAACAUGGCACUGCAAAUUGAGUCUUACUCCACACCCUCAUAUCAAGAAACUUUGGAGCCAUUUCCAUCACAGUUCCCUCCAAUCACUGAUCAAUCAAGUUCAUGUACCAAUCACAACAUCAACAGCAACACCAACUAUUGGAACAUAGAGGAUUUGUGGUCUAUGCAUAUGCUUAAUGGGGAUUGAAAACCUGCAUGCGUCAUGCAUACAUAAAUCAUAUAUUUAUAUAUAUAUAUAUAUGAUAUAUGAUAUAUAUCUAUAUUUAUAUAUGUAUCUAAGUUGUUAUUGUGUCAUCAGGCUUAACUAAUAACAUCAUUAGGCAAGUUUAUGUGAUGUUACCAUGCAUUUGAUGUGAGUCAAGGAUUAAGUUACUUAUGGAUUGGAGUAUAUUUAUAUAUGUAGGAACUUUUAUUUAUAUGUGCAUUAUUGUAUGAUUAUGGUAAAUAAUAUGGUAGGUGUACCAUAUAAGAUAUGUUUGAGGUUUACAAAACUUUGAAUAAUAUGGCAUGCUCGUGUUGUAGUAAA
This 4600-nucleotide long non-coding RNA is filed under the name Vigna radiata. Its description in RNAcentral is "long non-coding RNA (VRAD_LNC000019)". Lineage: Eukaryota; Viridiplantae; Streptophyta; Magnoliopsida; Fabales; Fabaceae. The record is from RNAcentral.